AAGAUGGCGACCGGCGCACGGUGAGUAACACGUAUCCAACCUGCCGAUAACUCUGGAAUAGCCUUUCGAAAGAAAGAUUAAUACCGGAUGGCAUACGAAUAUCGCAUGAUAUUUUUAUUAAAGAAUUUCGGUUAUCGAUGGGGAUGCGUUCCAUUAGUUUGUUGGCGGGGUAACGGCCCACCAAGACAACGAUGGAUAGGGGUUCUGAGAGGAAGGUCCCCCACAUUGGAACUGAGACACGGUCCAA
Molecule: ribosomal RNA, 247 nt
Filed under: uncultured bacterium
Lineage: Bacteria
Description: partial 16S ribosomal RNA
Rfam family: Bacterial small subunit ribosomal RNA
Source: RNAcentral